UAACAAUGAUACUUUUGCGUGUAAAUCAUUCAACAGUCAUUAUUUAUUUUGCGCAAAAGCAAUAAUAAUCUUGACACUUAAUGUGACGCCCCCAAAAUAGGUAUACAUCACCUAUUUUGAAUUGUCAAUACAUAGUACAUAAAUAACUACAACUUUAUUAAUACAACAUAAAAACUGUGAGUUUAAAUACAAAUAUUAUCAUCUAGACAAUAUCCAUACCCAACUAAGUCCUCAUCAUAAUUAUUAAUACAUUAUUUUACAAAAAUGGUGAGGACUACUAAACAACUCUCUCUAGAACCAUCAUUUCAUACCCCGACUCGUACUCGCAACAUUCUCGCCUCCUGAGAAGAAAAAUGGAACAAAAAGAAAAAGGGUGAGCUUAACUAGCCAGUAAAGAACAUUAUGACUAAGAUAAUAUAAAACAAAUUAUCGUUAGUCUUCAACAGGGAAAAAAUCUGAUAAAAUACAAUAGACAACAAGUUUCAGAUCAAUAUUCGCAGUGAAAAUAAUAAUUCAUAGAAGAGUUACGUAGAGAAUGAAAUCUACUAUUAUCUAUGAAUUUAACAGUCCAUCAACAGUAUUUUUAUCCCUGUAACAUCAAUCAAUGCACAUCUUGAAUCAUAUAUUCAUCUUUGCACUACAGGCCAAAGAUAUUCAUCAGUUGGUCAUGUUCAUCUCAACACUUGUUCAUCUUUGCACUACGGGCCAAAGAUAUUCAUCAUAAAAUCAUUAAUCUUUGCACUACAGACCAAAGAUAUUCAGUAAUAUCAUCAUUUAGGACUGGGGAUGAUGAAAAAUAUUUUAAAGAAAACGAAUCCAGUGAAACAAAAGAAUAAGUAUUAAGGAUUUGUAUUUCAGCUAUUUCAUGUCCAAAAAUACCUCAUAAAUAAUCAUAGUGAAGUAAAAUUCAAGAAUGAUCAAAACAUGGAUGCAAUCAAAGCUAGUAUCCAUAAUAGAUAUUUUGGAUGAAAAUUAAAAUUUUUAUUUUUCAAUGAAUAGUGUCGUAUUCGUGAAUAGUGUCGUAUUCGUGAAUAGUAUUGUAUACGUGAAUAGUGUCGUAUACGUGAAUAGUAACUCCGACACAAAAGGUUCCAAAUUUGAUUAAAAGUUCAAAUCAAUACUUCGGAAUAAUGAUAUUGAAAGAAAUAAUAUUAUUUUUUUUAAAAAAUAAUAUCCCUUACCUCGAAAGAAUAGUACUUCUGGCUGGAAUACUGGGUAUAGUGCUGAAGGGAACUUGCACCGUAUAACAAGACUCAAAGUAUCAAAAUACUCACAAGAAUACGCUCAAAAUAUCAAGAGAGGAAGAGAGAGAAAAUUUCAGUUUCUGGUGUAAUUUUUAAUUCUAACCUAAGCACCCUAUUUAUAGGAAAAUGCUUAGAACACCAAAGCAGAAAAUUUAAUAUAAUAUUAAUAUAUAUAAUCAAAUUUCUUACGCCCACUUUUCUAAAUCUGAAUUCAGCCAUAACACAUGUUAAUGAUGCCCCCAAACAUUCCUAAAACGUUUUUGUUAUUUAAAAUAUUUUAAACUUCCAAAAAUUAAUUAUUUUGAAACUUCGGAACUUCAGUAAUUCACAAUAAAUAGCCCUUUUAUCAGAAAAAUUCAAACCACGUGUCUUUUUCAUAGGAAAUUCCAUUAUCUACAACUUUACAGAAGGAAAGUUUUCCAAAUUCUAAACAGAAAUUGAUCGAAAUCCACAAACGGACGAUUUUACAGGCUAUAAUCAAAUUUCAGUUAAGAAAUGGGGUCCACAGACAUGAAAAACAUGUUUUAAAUAUUUUUGGUAACAAAAAUACUCCUCCUCAUAUACUCAUAUAUUCCACAUUCAUUGUAAAAAUAUCACCAUUAUUAUAUUAUUAAAAUAUAAUAAUAUAUUUAAAUAAAUUAUUUUAUCAGAAAAAGAUAAAAUAUUAAUUUUCAACAAUUGUCACAUUAAAAAUUUUCUCCAUCUAUAUCCACGUAAAAUUAAUAUUUUUCUUAUCAUAUAAAUUAAUAAUUAAUUAUUCGCAAAUAAUAUUACAGAAUUACAAUAUUGACAACUAAGCCGUUCCCAGGAUAGAGGGGGCUUUCCAAUAAGAAUUUUUUCUUACUGGCGCGCAAUUAGAUGACCUAACCUCUCUUUAAACAGAACUUUCUAGACAUUGCCAACAAUGUUAUCCAAUAAUAUUAUUCAGAUAGUAUGAAUUAUUGCUCCGAAAAUACUGUGUAAUGACAAUUAUUGAAACAACAGUAAUAUAAAAUAUCAACGCAACAAUUAAUGAAUCAAUAAAAUAAAAUACUGAACAGUAAUUACUGUAACAAUUAUUGAGUAGUGCCUUCUUACGUAAGAAUCAAUAAUUGGUGCAACACCGUGUGCUACUGUGUUUUAACCACCGAGUAUUUUAACAGUAUUAACGGUAACAACUACAUCGUUAUUUAUAAACAACUUAUACUUGUCGUUUUAUUCAUCCAAUCACUUUCCGUUAUGGGGCCCACACAAGGCUGCGCCGUCGUAUGAAUAUUCCCCGACAGUACGAAUAUUCCACGACCAAACGAAUAUUUUAUAACCACUUGCUUAUUUGAAAUAUGUGCGUAUUUUACCCAUAACUAUCCACAUUAAUCAAAUCAACCCUUACUAUUUCAAAAUAAUAAAUAGAGAAAAUUUAAUUUCAUUAAUAAUAAGUUGGGGUCUUACCAAAGAUAUUUAGUAAUAUCAUCAUUUAGGACUGAGGAUGAUGAAAAAUAUUUUAAAGAAAACGAAUUCAGUGAAACAAAAGAACAAAUAUUAAGGAUUCAUACUUUAAACAAUCCGAGUUCAAAAAUAUUUCAUAAAUAGAUAUAGUGGAGUAAAAUUCAAGAAUUAUCAAAACAUGGAUACAAUCAAAGCUAGUAUCCAUAAUAGAUAUUUUGGACAAAAAAUGAAAAUUUAAUUUUUCUGUGAAUAGUGCCGUAUUCGUGAAUAGUGCUGUAUACGUGAAUAGUACCGUAUACGUGAAUAGUAACCCCGACAUUAAAAGACAAGAAUUUCACAAGAAAAAUCUUACCAAUAUUCCGACAUAAUGAUAUUAGAAGAAAUAAUAUCAUUUGAAAAAAAAUAACAUCCCUUACCUCAAAAAGAAUAGUAUUUCUGGCUAGAAUAUCAGAUAUAACGCUGAAAGAACUUGCACCGUAUAGCAACACUCAAAGUACCAAAAUACUCACAAGAAUAUGCUCGAUAAUAUAUAGAGAGAAAACUUCAGUUUUUGGUGUGAUUUUCAAUUCUAACCUAAGCACCCUAUUUAUAGAAAAAUGCUUAGAACACCAAAGCAAAAAAUUUAAUAAAUUAAUAAUAUUUUCAAAACAAUUUUUCUACGCACACCACAAGUCUACAACAUCAGCCACACACCACAAAAAAAGUAACAAAAACGUUUUUCUUAAUUAAAAUAUUUUAAACUUCAAAAAUUAAUUAUUUCAGAACUACAAUAAUUCAUAAUAAAUAGCCCUUUUAUCGAAAAAAUUCAAAUUUUAUGUCCAUUUCAUAGGAAAUUUAAUUAUCUACAACUUUGCAGAAGAAAGUUUUUCCAAAUUCCAAGCCGAAGUUGACCGAAAUCCACAUACGGACGAUUUUAUAGGCUAUAAUCAAAUUUCAGUCAAGAAAUGGGGUCCACAAACAUGAAAAACAUGUUUUAAAAUAUUUUUAGUAACAAAAAUACUCUUCCUCCUCAUAUACUCAUAUAUCCCACAUUCAUUGUAAAAAUAUCACCAUUAUUAUAUUAUUAAAAUAUAAUAAUAUAUUUAAAUGAAUUAUUUUAUCAGAAAAGGUAAAAUAUCAAUUUUNNNNNNNNNNNNNNNNNNNNNNNNNNNNNNNNNNNNNNNNNNNNNNNNNNNNNNNNNNNNNNNNNNNNNNNNNNNNNNNNNNNNNNNNNNNNNNNNNNNNNNNNNNNNNNNNNNNNNNNNNNNNNNNNNNNNNNNNNNNNNNNNNNNNNNNNNNNNNNNNNNNNNNNNNNNNNNNNNNNNNNNNNNNNNNUUAUCUAAUAAUAUUAUUCAAAUAAUAUGAAUUAUUGAUCUGAUAAUGAAAAUACUGUGUAGUGACAAUUAUUGAAACAACAAUAAUAUAAAAUAUCAACGUAGCAAUUAUUGAAUCAAUAAAAUAAAAUAUUAAACACUAAUUACUGUAACAAUUAUUGAAUAGUGCCUUCUUACGUAAGAAUCAAUAAUUGGUGCAAUACCAUGUGCUACUGUGUUUUAACCACCGGGUAUUCCAACAGUAUUAACGGUAACAACUACGCCGUUAUUUAUAAACAACUUAUACUUGUCGUUUUCUUUAUCCAAUCGUUUUCCGUUAUGGGGUCCACACAAGGCUGCGCCGUCGUACGAAUAUUCCCCGACAGUAAGAAUAUUCCACGACCAAACGAAUAUUCUCCGAUAAAAAUGAAUAUUUUAUAACCACUUGCUUAUUUAAAAUAUUUGCGUAUUUUACCCAUAACUAACCACAUUAAUCAAAUCAACCCUUACUAUUUCAAAAUAAUAAAUAGAGAAAAUUCAAUUUCAUUAAUAAUAAGUUGGGGUCUUACAUAGUUUCUUUUUACGUAAUAAUUAAAUACAGUCUGUUAAUGUCAAAUGGGUUUGUAGUCAAAAUUUUGAUUAAAUGUGCUUCCCCAUUACAUAAGGGAACUUCGCUUAAUUAGAAAGGCCAGGAAGGCUACAAAGAAACAGAAUCGUGGUGGUGCAGAGGAGCUCAAAGGCUUAGACACUCACACACCCAGAGAAAUGGUGGAGAUUGAUCAUUGUGAAUUUUGGGUUCACCUUCUUUUUUGGUUCCCGGGAAAAUAUGCAUUUGAGAAUACAUAAUUUUCAAUACACAUUAAACCAAGUAACAAAAAUUUUGUCCCAAUUAAUCUGUACUAUUGACGAAACAAAACCCAAUUAGAAAAAAUCAACAUAAUAGAGAGGCAUUAGCUUCUUCUUUCCCUGUUAUGUACAAAUAGAUUUGUAUAUGAAACAAAUUGAGAAUUUAUAUGUAGAUAUAUGUAUAGCUUACUGUAUAUGAAACAAAUUGCGGCAUUAACUUACUGUAAUGCUUCGGCAUGGCUGCUGAUCGUCAUGUCGACGGACGGAGGAAGCGAGAACAGAAAUAAUGGAGGGAUUUCAGUCAAUCGCCGGUGUAAUUGGAAGGGAUUUGGAGAUGGAGGAGAGUACAAAGGAAGGAGAAGACGAAAUGAGAAGGAGCAGAUGUAUAAGGCGAGAUUUGGGUAGCGUGUAAGGGGGGUUGAUUUGAGCGGGUUUUUUUUGUGAAAUGAAAGGUCAGCCAUUGAAUUAAAUUGUAAAAACUGAGAUUCAAUCUAAAUCGCUAUUGUGCUUUAGAUUCAAAUUUGGUCCUGAUUUAUUAUAUAGAUUUAUUGAGUUUUAAAAUGAUUGUAAAAAAAUAUAUGAGAAAACGGAUGAAAAUUUAAGUUUUUAUAUAAUUUUAGUGUUUCUGAGCCAUUUAAUGUAUAAAAAUUUAAAGAAAUAGAUGUAAAAUUUGAUUACUUUUCUUGUCAAAAUUUUUUGUUUAAAAAUAAACAAAUUCAAACAAAAAAUUAAAUAACAUAAACAUAUAUUUUAUAAUUCUUAUCAUACCAUGUAUAUUAUAAACACAAUAAAACUAAUAAAAAGAUAAAUUAAUAAUUUAAAUGCAAAACUAAAGUCUUAUUUUUUUUUUAUAAAUUUAAUAACAAUAUAAAAGAAAACUUUAAAUUUUUUUAUUAUAAUUAUUUUUCAAUUCAAACUCGAAAACAUAAAUAUUAGAAACCGAAUAAAUCCAUUAUGCAUUAACCAUCUUGAGUAAAUUAAGAGUAAGUUAAUAAUUUAAAGAAUUAAUAUUUUUAACACUAAGUUUACCUAUAUGAUAUAAAUUUUUUUUAAGGAAUAGUGAUAUUUGAGUUUAAUUAAUAUAGUUUAAAUAUUAACCAUGAGUGUGUGAUUGAAGUCAAAAUUAUGGGCAGCCUCGUAAAUUCGUCUUUGUAAGAUUAGAUAAAAGUAAAGAGUUGAGGCAAGUCACGUUAUAAAACAAGCAUUAUUAUUACAAUUUUCAAAGCAGCUAACAGAUCCCUCCUCCUGACAUAUAUGCUUUCCCUCCUCUUCUCUAUCUCAUAAUUGUGUGUGCAGCAAGCUUUAAUCACAACUUUUCUACGUCCCAUUUCACCUCUCUUUCUCUCUCUCACACACACACUUCAAACAGUAAUGGUAGAACUCUCAAGCUCUAACAAUGGCGGAGAACCUCUCGAAGCUCACCGUCUCAGCGAAGAUAUGGACAGCACCUGUUCCACUCCUUACGUCAGCGCCCCUUCCAGUCCCAGCCGCGGUCCCUCCGGUUACUUCUUCAGUGCUCCGGCGAGUCCGAUGCACUACUAUUUUUCCAAAGCUCCGUCGUCUUCUUCUCAGCUGCAGUUGACCUCUGCGGAGUCAUUCACUUCGUCUGGAUCGUUUGAGUUUGAGUUUUCUUCUAGGUUUUCACCUAGUAGUCCCACGGGAAAUGGAUCCAUGAGCUCGGCGGAUGAGUUGUUUCUGAACGGUCAGAUCCGGCCGAUGAAGCUUUCGUCUCACUUGCAGAGGCCUCAGUUUUUAGCUCCAUUGCUGGACCUGGAGAUCGAAGAUGAAGACGAUGAAUGUAGCGAGAAUUGCGAAGUUAAGGUGACGAGAGGGAGGGAUCUGAGAUUGCGCAAUCGAUCUCUUCAUCGGAAAGCUAGAUCUCUCUCUCCUCUCCGAGGCGGCGAGUGUAUUCGUGAAGCGCGUGAGUUUCUGGAGUUGGAGGAUAAUGGUAAGACCAAUGAAAAGAUUGGUGAAACGAGUGGCGAUACCGACGUGCCAUCACUUGAAACGACACCGUCCGGUUCAGCUUCAUCGUCAAGGUCCUCAUCUUCCGGUCGUAACUCGAAGAAAUGGAUAUUUCUGAAGGAUCUUUUGUACCGAAGCAAAAGCGAAGGUAGAGGGAAUAGUAAGGAGAAGUUCUGGUCAACGAUCUCUUUUUCUCAGUCGGCAAGAGAGAGGAAACUCUCUUCGCCGUCUCUCACGCCGUCGUCUUCUAGAGACGAGAAGGAUAGAACUCCAAACCAGAAACGGAGUAAGCAACAAACGGCCAAAAAAUCAGGUGCCGGAGGAAAGCCUGCAAAUGGAGUAUCUAAACGAAGAGUUCCAUUAUCGGCUCACGAGUUACAUUACACCACAAACAGAGCGCAGGCUGAGGAGAUGAAGAAGAAGACAUUUUUGCCGUACAGGCAAGGUUUGCUUGGUUGCCUAGGAUUUAGUUCCAAAGGUUAUGGCGCCCUUAGUGGAUUCACUAGAACUUUGAAUCCUGUUUCAUCGAGGUAAAAUUAAAAUUAAAAGAUUAUCUGUAUAGAUCUCGCACUAGAGAAUAUUACUUUAUUAGUUUGUGUAAUCCGAAUGGCUUUGUUAAUGCUUAUUUACGGUAAUAGAAGCUUUAAUUUAUUAAAAUGGCCAUUUUAUUAUUUGCUUCUUUAUUUACUUGUGAUUCUUAAAAACAUUAAUUAAUGCUAUAUGAUGGAUCUCAAAGCCAGGCAACAAUGGUGGCAAUUUAAAUAUCGAUAUCAAAUACUACAUGUAUCAAAAAGAAGUUAAAAAUAUAUUUCGAAGCCAUUUAUUUCCCAUUAAAUGUCAGUUGGAUAUGAAGUUCAGUUCAUAUAGAUCAUAUGCUGUAGAUUAUUGUGAAUCCAGUGACAAUAUGUUCUUGUGGAGAGUUUAUCAGGGUUGGGUACCCCGAAUCACAUUUACUUUAGAACAAGUUUUUUGAUUAUUUUGUUUCUAUUCUAAAUUUGUUGUGGAAAGUGUGGGAGGCAUAUACUACUACUAUACUAAUGUGAUAGUGUAAUAAAGUAAUGAUAGUCAUAUCAUAGAUCCACGGUCCACCUGUUGUAAUGCAUGAAAAUGGCUGAUGAUCUAGCAUGGGAUUUUUUGUCAAGUUUGUUGGUGUUGUCAAUAUUUUCUUAAUCCAAAAUCAUUUAUAUGUAUCUGAUACACCACGUGGGCAAAGAUUGGUUGAGUACUCUGUUUGGUGCAUCUGCCCCACACUUGUAAAGUUAUGAAUGUGAAUGUGUCCUUUUUGUUCGUUCCUAAUUGGGUGUUUUUCGAAAGUGUUUGCAAGUUGCAACCAGUUAUUGGAUGAGGUAUGGUGGUUGGAUUUGGGAUUAGAUGUUGAUACAUACUAAUUGGGUGUUUCUCUAAAGUGUUUCCAUGUAGUGCUUCUAAUUUCUAAUACUACUGGUAUUUAUUUUAAAAUCACGUAUAUCAGAAUUUAUUCGGGAUUUCACGUUUUUUUAUAUCACCACCUGGGUUUUAAAAAUUGACACUUAAACACCUGUAGUUGUCAGGUGAAGUGAAAAAUACGUUUCGAUCGGUCUUAACACUGUUACCUAAAGUGUGUAAAGACAAUUAUACUCUUUUUAAAAUAUUUUCUAUUUCUCGUUCAACCUUCAUCUACUCCAUUAGAACACCAUUCACCUUCAUCAACUCUAUUUUUCAGCCAAAAAAAUCAUCCAACUACGAUCCAAACUCAACCCCAGACCGUUGAAAACCAUUUAGUUUCCUACAGACAAUCAAAUCAUCCAUAAACAUCUUACAAUUCAUCACCAAACCUUAGAUAAACCAUGGUUCAUUCCUUGGUUUGCAUAACAUGAUAUUUUCAACAAAAAUCCAUUAAAACCUUAUGUAAUCCCUAAAUUAAAGCAUGCAAACCUUUAGGCUUUGUCCCUUAAUCAAAUUCGUGCACAAUCAACCGUAAGAAAACCAAAAACAGGAAAAAAAUUUCCAAAUAUUGACGGAAAACUUGUUCAAGCAAAUUUGUGCAAGAUUAAACCCACUUGCUUUUAAGCUCUAUCGGUCGAAAACUCGAGAAAACCUAACUUUUAGCCGACAAACUCCUUCAAUUUGAGUUCAAAAUUCACUGGGUUUUGUGCCUUUGCCAAAUAUGAUAAAAUGGUGUGGAAAUUGGUACCAAAACAUGCACAUCCAAAUCCCACAUGAAAAAACAGGUGGCGGCAGAUAGAUGCAAGCAAGGAUUCACCCAAAUUUGUAACUAAAAACAUGUACAUAAUUUUCUUCAUUGAGAUCAAUAUUAAUGAUAAAACUCAUCCUUGCACCAAAUCUGAUUUAGGUUGAAUUUGUACUUGUGUUCGUUUUGUGAAAAUCACUCCUUUCCUUGGUGAACAAGUUAUAUGGUUAGGCCAGCUUUGUGUACACAAGGUAGGCCUUUGGUUUAUGAAAACAUGCAGUUGUCACUUGACAUUUUUAAGUUAAAUGAAAGAAGGGAACCUGGAGAGAAGGUAGGUAGGUACCACUCACUGGCUGGCCUUGGAUUCCCUUAAGAAAAACCACCUUCCUCCUAUAUCCGCUGUGCCUGCCUGCCUGCCUGCCUGCCUGUGCAGAUAUUCUACUACUACCACUACUACUACUUUUUGUUGCAGCAGUGGGCAAUGGGUACCAUGUGACUGCCUGAGCAUUCUGGGCUGGCCUAUUUCAUAUUUCUGGUCUCCUAAUAAUAUCAUUGUCCUUCAUUUUGGCGUUUUCUUCUUUGGCGUCUUCCCUUCUUUCCAAUUUGUAUACUUAUCCCUUGACCUGAUGCGGU
RNAcentral lists this long non-coding RNA (9575 nucleotides) under Panax ginseng (ginseng). Its description in RNAcentral is "long non-coding RNA (PGIN_LNC018449)". The record is from RNAcentral. Lineage: Eukaryota; Viridiplantae; Streptophyta; Magnoliopsida; Apiales; Araliaceae.